RNAcentral lists this ribosomal RNA (305 nucleotides) under uncultured bacterium. RNAcentral describes it as "bacterial SSU rRNA". It matches the Rfam family "Bacterial small subunit ribosomal RNA", at positions 334 to 631 of the family's 1533-position model. The record is from RNAcentral.
AGUUCCUACGGGAGGCAGCAGUAGGGAAUCUUCCACAAUGGGCGAAAGCCUGAUGGAGCAACGCCGCGUGGGUGAAGAAGGUCUUCGGAUCGUAAAACCCUGUUGUUAGAGAAGAAAGUGCGUGAGAUUAACUGUUCACGUUUCGACGGUAUCUAACCAGAAAGCCACGGCUAACUACGUGCCAGCAGCCGCGGUAAUACGUAGGUGGCAAGCGUUAUCCGGAUUUAUUGGUCGUAAAGGGAACGCAGGCGGUCUUUUAAUUCUGAUGUGAAAGCCUUCGGCUUAACCGGAUUAGUGCCUUUUCA